UUCUGCUGUUGAGAGGAAUUAUACAUCACACAAGCUACAGUGAUCCCGGAAGGCAUGGAACAGCACCUGCUUCAGCUCAUCCAGAGACAGCUGCUGCAUGUCAAACUGCAGGGACACAAGUGUGCGUGUGACAGGAAAACAGCCGGGGAUCGUGAGCAGUGACCGGUGACAUACUGGAGGAGCCAGGACGCAUCAGUCAGAGGAACAGGUUGAGAGCUCAUCAUAGAAGAUGAUCUGUUCAUCUUGAUUCUUUAUUGCCAUUACAAACCCCAAGGCCGGGACAUAGUUGAUUGAGGGACUUCUCUGGUCUGUCCUCUGUGUGUGUGUUUGUGUUCAUAUCUUAUUCAUCUACCUUUAUCAUAAUUGAGAUGCUGUGACUUAUUCUGUGAAACAUUUAUAAUGUCAUUGAAAGGUUUCUUUUCAUUUUUAUAGUGCAAUAUUUCUGCCUUGUAAUCAUCUAGUCUGUAAAAUGUG
Thunnus maccoyii (southern bluefin tuna) is the source of this 474-nucleotide long non-coding RNA. RefSeq lists it as uncharacterized. Lineage: Eukaryota; Metazoa; Chordata; Actinopteri; Scombriformes; Scombridae. The transcript has 4 exons. The record is from RefSeq and is a predicted model, not a curated record.